Molecule: long non-coding RNA, 1039 nt
Filed under: Homo sapiens (human)
Lineage: Eukaryota; Metazoa; Chordata; Mammalia; Primates; Hominidae
Description: HSALNT0393190
Source: RNAcentral
CGUCAGGCCAUUCCAGACUCGUGUGUGGCUGCUUGCGCAGCUGCUCCGUGCCAGGCUUGGAGGACCAGGAGAAGGGGUAGUCACUUGCCACAGCUGGAGGCUGGAGCGUGUGGCACCACGGCUCGCCUCGCUGUGGUGGGUGCUGGCGACAGAGACGGCAGCUCGGCUGGACUGCUCUGUUUUUACCCUUUCUCCGGGCUGUUAUUGUCAUACAAAUUACAUCUUUAUACAUGUUGUGCUGAACAACAAGUCGAUUUGUAGGUGUUUCUUUGUGAAGUUAUCCUCUAAAUCAGAUUUGCUGAGAUUUGUUUUGUGGCCUAACAUCUGAUCUACCCUGAAGACACUUCCAUGUGCUGAUGGGGAGAAUGCAUACUCUUCAACUGUUGAGUGGGAUGUUCUGUGAAUAUCUGGUAAAAAAACUGAGGCUUAGAAACAUUGAAAAAAACUUGCUCAACGUUGCAAAACAAGAAAUUUGUGACACUGGAAUUGACAUCUACAAGGGACUGAUGUAACUAAUUGCUGGAUACAUGUCCCUCAAAGACACAGAAACAGAUCUUGUAUUCUAGUGGAUCUCCGGCACCCAGUGAGGGCCUGAAACAGAGUACAUGUCCAACAAAUAAUUAUUGAAGUAAAGAUUGACAUUUCAGGAGCAGAGAUUAAUAUUCAAAAACAAAGAUGAGAAUUUUGGCAGAAAAGUCAAAAUGAGGUUCCAACGUGGCUCAACAUGGCAGUUGCUGAUCCUGACUUUGCUUAAAAUUUGUCCAGGAAAUGUAUUUGUGGGCCAUCCUACAGAAGUUAUAAUGAAUGGAAAAACGUGAAGAACCUUCUAUUCUCCCAAGGAUAUCGUGAGGGAAUCGUCACUGUAUCUGGAAGCCAGAUGCCAAAGAUGUUCAGUUAUUAUCAAUGUAUCUAUGCAUAAAGGAUUGAAAAUGAUUCUUCAUGCCAUAAUUUAUCUAAAUAUUCAUUCCUUUGGAACACUGUUUUCCACCAAUAGUAACAAGACUUGGAACAAAAUAAAAUAGCAAUAUCAUGUGCAUUU